CUAAUCUCCUCCGCCUGACUUCUGGAAUGGGACAAGGCAGGCGCAGCGAGGCCACCUCCCCAGAGUUUAUUGGUUCCGUACUUUGGCCGUCUCGUUUCUUCCGUCCGCAAUGGAUUCGUCACACCUACUGACCUACCCCACCUCUUUCACGACCGCCGCCUGGUUCUCAUCGUUCUCGUCGACCUCGCCAGUUCUUCUUUCCUUUGCCUCAUCCCUUCCUCCCUGCGUGCAUCCCAUGGAGCUCCACUGCACCUGGGCACCGUGCGGGGGUGUAGCGGCAGGCUGUUCCCGGGUCGUGGGGAUUCUCGACGGCCGGUGUCCCCGGCCACGACGCGGUCGACCCAGCCCUGCCGGUCGUCACCGGCGCGGCUUCAUCCCGCAGGACCACGCCUUCUCCUGUGCUCCAUGGAACCCUAGAUGUGUGUCUCUUCCUCUCACUCCUUCUCCCUCUCCCUGCCAACUCCCUCUAUCCCAGAGCGCGCGGAGUUUCACCGUGUGGUGCCCAGGCGUCUUGCUCUGCCUGCACGCCACGGCUGCACCGAGGGAUGGAUCCCGUGGUGCAUUGAUUAGUUUUAGGUUCGUAGUAUCUACUUAGAUGUGUAUUGCUACAGCUGAUUUCAGAAGUAAGAUUCCUAUGUGCAGGUUCUACCUUUUGAAAACAGGAUGAUGGUGGAGAAUUUCACAGCACGAAAGUGAAAAUCUUCAAAUGGAAGAUGGGGGUGUCCUUCGGCGCUGUGGCUCCUCUCAACGUCAGCACAUGUUGGGGAAGCAUCCUAUUUGGUUUCUACAGGCAGAACUUUGGCUGGGGCUGGGUGCAUUACGUCUGCAUUUGCUUAUUGUGCACUGCAACAUUGGUGAGGUGUGUGAUGACUACAAGAAGGUAAAUUUGAGAAGGCCAAUGAAGAAAUGCUUUUUUACAGAUGCAUCUACAUGUUCCGUUGGAAGGCAAAAUAUUUUGAUGUCAGCAAAUGUAUUGUAGUCUCCAAUUGGCUAAAGGAAAUAUCAGCAGGUGAAUUGCUGCUUUCGAGCUUCCAGCAUGAUCAGUAGUAGUACUCCAGUAGUAAACUUGCAGCGGCUGACAUAACCUGCACUCCUGCAGUGCACUUGCUCCCAGAUGGGCUGCCACGAACUGACCUACAGUUGACUAUUAGUUGCUCUUCAUGCAUGGCAACUUAAAUAAAUUUCUUCAAUAUGGAUUGGGUAUAAAAUUGUCAGUGCCUACCUAUACCAAGGUAUUUAAAUUGUCCUUCUUUCUUUGCCCCCUUGCUCCCUUUAGUUUUGGCCAAUUGGAAGAUUGUUGUUGCCUACCUGAUGUACGCUGCCUCUUCAUCAUACAAAUCCUACAACGGAUCGAAAUUUAGAAUACGGAUGGAGCCAGUUCCUGUUGCCUUGGCGUGUAUUGGUCUGUUCUUCUAAAGAUUGGUCGCUCGAUGGCAACACCAAUAUAAGUCAGGCUAUUGCCAUUACUGAACAACCUGAUGUACACACGCUUCGGCCAAUAUCUAGAUUCAUUAAAAAAAAGUACACUGUAAGGAACACACUCCCUCUAUUGUAAGUGAUGGCUCAUGGAGGUGACACAGUAUUGCUUCCGUGUCCCUCAUCCAUCGUUUCUUUCAGAAGUGCAUCAAUUGCCGAAGUGGCUGGAUGUGGAUGAAACAAAGAUGGCCUUUCGCCACCGACAUCUACCAACCAAGGAACAGAUCGACCAGGGAAAAAAAGGACACUCCUAGCCUCCGAUACAACAAGGGCCGUGACCAACAUCUGUAGCAUAUCCCGCAGCUAUGAAGUCUAUGCGUCCUACAAAUAUGAACCGGUCAUCAAAUCUGUGCUGUAUAAAUCACCCUCACCUCCUAUACUACACCGUAGACCAACAAUACCAUUACCAUAUAUCUGCAACUCUGUAUCAUGAUGUAAAUGUUUAUCAGUGAAGGUACUUUACCUAUUUAUUAAAUGAUCAAAUAUGUCACAUGUGCAUCAUA
Sorghum bicolor (sorghum) is the source of this 1979-nucleotide long non-coding RNA. RefSeq lists it as uncharacterized. NCBI's taxonomy places the organism in Eukaryota, Viridiplantae, Streptophyta, Magnoliopsida, Poales, Poaceae. The record is from RefSeq and is a predicted model, not a curated record. The transcript has 7 exons.